UUCCUGUCCAGGCGCUGAAACAGAAAGGGGAAAGAAAACAAGAGGCUGGGCUCAGCCCUUCAUUCCGCGGCGGAGGCAGCGGCGGCAGCAGCUCCGCGCCGGGGAGGGGGGCGGCGGAGGCGAGAGCGGCCAGGUCAACCCGGGCCUGCUGCCGGCCGGGCGUUGAUGGCGGCCGAGCCCGGCUGUGUGUCCCCGCCGCGGCCCGGCUGCUAAGAGGCAUUCACCGGCGGAUCGAUCCCGCGCCCGGAGGAGCCCGCCGGCCGAGAGAUUUUGUCUAGGAACAUGGCUGGCCAACACAUCCUUCCUCAGGCUUUGUAUCAGAGCAAUAUGCUGAAAGCUGUGAAAAUUAGAGAGAGGACACCUGAAGAUCUGGUCAAACCCCCCAGUGGAAUAAUUCACCACUUCAGGACUAUGCACAGAUACACCAUAGAAAUGUUCAGAAUGUGCCAGUUUUGCCCCCAAUUCCGGGAAAUGCUUCAGAAGGCCUUGACUGACCAAGCCACCCAGACUUCACUGGAGCGCCAGAGGAAGCUGAACUGGUGCAUGGAGGUCAGGAGACUUGUGCCUUUGAAAACUAAUGGUGAUGGAAAUUGCCUCAUGCACGCUGCAUCGCAGUACAUGUGGGGUAUUGAAGAUGUUGACCUCGUCUUAAGGAAGACAUUGUUUAAUGCACUCAGGGAGAUUGACACACGGAACUUCAAGCUGCGCUGGCAGCGAGAGGCUAUUAAAUCCCAGGAGUUUGUACAAACAGGACUCCACUUUGACACCCGGAACUGGGAGGAGGAGUGGGAAUACCUCAUUGAAAUGACCUCCCCAGAAACAUCUGGGUCUCGAAACAGACUUCCUUAUAAUGCACUGGAAGAAAUCCACAUCUUCAUUCUUGCUAACAUCCUCAGAAGGCCAAUCAUUGUCCUUGCAGAUAAAGUUGUGAGAAGUUUAGAAUCGGGCUCCAGUUUUGCUCCUCUGAAUGUCGGUGGUGUUUACCUGCCACUCCUUUGGCCAGCUGAAGAAUGCUACAGAUAUCCAAUUGUGCUCGGCUACGACAAUAUGCAUUUUACACCACUUGUGACCCUGAAGGACAGCGGGCCAGAAAUCCGGGCUGUCCCUCUGGUCACCAGUGAACGAGGCAGAUUUGAGGAUUUGAGUGUGCACUUUCUGACAGACGCGGAGGAGAGGGAGAAAGAACAGCUGCUGAAAGACUACUUGAUAGUCAUAGAGAUUCCAGUGCAAGGCUGGGACCAUGGCACAACUCAUUUAAUUAAUGCUGCAAAGUUGGAUGAAGGCAACCUGCCCAAAGAAAUAAACCUUGUGGAAGAUUACUUUCAGCUGGUGCAGCAUGAGUACAAGAAAUGGCAGGAGAAUGCUGAACCUGCCAGAAAAGAGGCCUGCUCCAGGAACAGACAGGAACUGUCUUUUUCCCAGCUCUCCCUCUUACAGUUGAAAUGUGAAACUCCAAACUGCCCUUUCUAUAUGUCUGUGAACACCCAGCCCUACUGCCACGAGUGCUUUGAGCGGAGGUCGCAGGGAAACAAAGGAAGAAAGCAGGUCUCUGAAGCAGCACCUGAGAAACUGAAGGCAGCUGGGUCAGGCUCCUCCUGUGGUAAAGUUUGUGAGCCUGGGGGAUGGAUGUCUGAGGAGUCUGUAACAGGGCCUCGCUCUGCACCCCCAACAGCUCCCAGCCUUUUCCUCUAUAGUGAAACCACUGCCAUGAAAUGCCGGACUCCAGACUGCCCCUUCACCUUAAACGUGCAACACAACGGACUUUGUGAACGCUGCUACAAUGCUAGACAGCUUGCUCCUCGUAACAAUUUGGACAACCAGAGAUGUUUGGACUAUGGCACGUGUAAGGUCUGCCUUCAGAAGGCCAACAGGACAUUUAAUGGCAUAUGCAGCACUUGUUUCAAAAGGACUACAGAGCGCUCCUCAAAUGGCAGCCCUGGUUUUGUGCCCACGUGCCAUCAGAGGUCUACAUCUGACCCAUCCCAGAUCCCGCAGAGCCUCCUUCAGCAUUCCUGCCAGCAGGCUCCCAACAACAACUGCAGUGAGCCGCCAUUGGCCGCGCUGCCUCGUGCCCCACGCGCUUUGGAGGAUAAGAGGGGAAGUAAGCUCUGCAGGAAGCCUGGCUGCAAAUUUUUUGGAACAGCUCAGAACGAGGGCUUUUGCACACUGUGCUUCUUUGAAUACAGGGAAAACCACGACAGUGCUUCACUACGCCAUCAGAGGAGAUCUCAGAGGAAUUCCUCAGCAACUGGUCAGCAGGGGAGCUCAGCUGCUGCCUUCCACAAUACCAUGUCUUGCCAGCAGCAGAACUGUGGCACCCUGGGUAGCACCAUGCUGGAGGGCUACUGCCAGAACUGUUUCAUUAAAGCCCAGAGCCAGCGAUUUCAGGAAGCCAGAAGGACAGAAGAGCAGCUAGUGAGACAGCCUGAAAGAACAGGACAGCGCAGAGAUCUACAGCAAGCAGUACUGACUAGCCAGAAGAGACAAUGUGCCGUGGCUUCAUGUCGAAACAACCUGGCCUGCAGAAACAGUGAGCUGUGCCAGCAGUGCCAGCGCCUUGACCAGCUUGCACAGCUGGGGGGUCCCAGGGAGCCAGCUGCAGAUGAACCCCCGAAGCAACGCUGCCGAGCCCCUGCUUGCGACCACUAUGCUGAGUGAAGCAGAGACAAGUAGACACAAGAAAAAGUACAAACAAGUCCUUUAUUCUGCAACUCCAUUUGAGCACUCUAAAGAUAGCAUCAAGGACUGCAUGGAAAUCCCCUGGAUACACUUUGUAAUUUUUUCCGGUGAAUCUCAGGAUAGCAAAUAUGAAAGGCAAGGGUACUCCUUGGAUAUAGAAGAACCAAGAUGAAACUUGCCUAGAGAGAGCAUGUGGAACAAGAUACAUGUCCCUGCACUAAACAGUUACCUAAAUAACAAGUUCACUAUGUUAUCAUUUCCACAGCUACUUCAAGUGUUAAAGAAAUGUGUUUGAAUUCCCAAAUAAUUCCCAGCUCAGGCCCUGUAUGUUUCCAGUGUAGAAAAUCAGUGUAAGACCAGUAAUAUGAAGUCAGGGCUGUUUGGACUGAGUGUUAACUGCAAGAUGCUUGGCACUGUUACCAAGGAAUACGUUUGCUCCACUUACACUGAUAAUGCAUUCAAAGAAACAGGCUUUUCCUUUGCAGUUGAUGAAAUUGCAUCAUAGAAACACCUGUCUCCAUCAUCAAUUUCUCCUUCUAACAGAGCAAAAUGUUGUCAAACUACAAGGUAGAGCACUGGGCCACAGUUCUGCACACUACUUUUUGUUGGCUACUGAUCAUUACGUUUAGCUUCUUUGAAUCAUAAAGACCAAGAUGCAUGCAAGCAUUUGUAUCCAGCUUACACAAUGAUAAGUGUUAUGAAUGGGGGAUAUAGUUGACCAUUUAUUUACUCUGAGGUUUUGAAAGUUAUCAAGGGAUAUGAAAAUAAACCACUGUGAUGUUAACAAGGAAGCUAAGUGAGAACCUCAUCUCCUCUCUGGUUGGCUAUUACCUAUUACUGCAGUGAGUUAUUGCCAUAAUCAAGGAAGAAACACUCUCCUUGCACUGGAAAAAUGUUCCUAACAAAGAUAAAAUUGUGAUCUCAGUGAGAAUUGGGAAGUACCAGUAAAAGCUUAGAGUUAUUAUCAUGGAAAAAAAAGUCUCAGCAGUGAGAAAUACAGGGGAAAAACCACCUCUUCUCCUAACUUGUUUAUACAACCACAAAUUGCAUAAUUCUUUUUUACCUCUGCAACAAACAAAUUCAUGUUAAGAUAUUUGCCUGUUGUGCCCUCCUACCCUCUUUGUUGUUUUCAGGUUAUAAUACCUCUUUUAUAUUCUUCUGUAUUCAAAUGUGUUUGUUUCAGUGGAUCUAGAUUGCUAAUCCAGCUGUUUUACACUGUUUUACAGACUCUUCCGUCUCCUUAAUUUUUACCUUUUUAUUAGUCUUUCUCUCAUUUUGGUUUUUAUCUGUAACGUCUUAUUAUUUUUUUCCAAGGCCACAGAAGAAAAGGUUGAAUUAGAUCAAAUCUGGCACUGAUCUCUGCAGAGAACAAGUAGAGAAGCCGUGUGCUGAAGAUUACUUCUUUCCAACCUACUUAAAAUUUUUCCAGUUCAAAGUGCACACUGUUUUUUGCAGUGAAAGUUGCUGUAUUCUUCGGACAGAACACUGUAUAAUAUUGAAUCAAGUACCUCACAGAAGUCUAUAUAAUUACUUUUAUAAAUCACACUAGUAAUUGACGUCAGGAAAGCAUGCUU
RNA transcript from Numida meleagris (helmeted guineafowl), 4253 nucleotides. It is a transcript of the gene named TNF alpha induced protein 3, with no coding region annotated. Lineage: Eukaryota; Metazoa; Chordata; Aves; Galliformes; Numididae. The transcript is spliced from 11 exons. The record is from RefSeq and is a predicted model, not a curated record.